This 764-nucleotide long non-coding RNA is filed under the name Homo sapiens (human). Its description in RNAcentral is "non-protein coding LINC01088:34". The record is from RNAcentral. Lineage: Eukaryota; Metazoa; Chordata; Mammalia; Primates; Hominidae.
ACUGGGAUGCUGCCUUGCACUUAGGGAAGGUUCACAUGCCUCAAGGAUCUCUCUCUCUCAGAUUUCUUGACUUUCCCUCAGUCUUCAGUAUAGUCCUCCUCUGUGCCUGGUGAAGACCUGUGGUAAAGUGCUGGCAGAGAGGAAGCUAAAUCACGUAAAAAUUAAGAAACAGCUCAGCGUUUCACAGCUAAGCUGCCGGCUUCCCCUUGAAGGAAUAGGAGUAGACCUGCUGAACUAUCACAUGAGAGAAGAGGCCCAAAAGCUUGCACACUACAGUCAAGCUGGCCCUUAAAGAGAUGGACCUAGAAGAUGCUGAGCCAGAUGUACUCAAUUACUUCUCCAAAAUUCAUCAAUUAGAACUGCUUCUUGCUGCCGCCAUAUGAAGAAGGACGUGUUCGCUUCCCCUUCCUCCAUGAUUGUAAGUUUCCUGAGACCUCGCCAGCCAUGCUGAACUGAAUACAACAUGUUUAAGACCACAGAACAUCUGCAUAGGCUGUAAAUUUCGUUGAAUGAUGGAUGCAAAGAUGGAAGACAGAUGGAUAGAGGAAAAGACAGAAUCAGAUACUGGAUGAGUUAGUACUGCUGCCUGUGCUUCAGAGCUGUCUUAUUACCACAAGGCCGGCAAGCAUCAAUGUCCCCACAUCCCCCUCUGCCUCCCCCUGAAAUGUACCGAUUUAUAUGAAAAUUAAGAUUACAAAUUAAAGCCUGGCUAUCCUGGAGUUUUCCAGUUCAUCAGCCAUCCAAUAAAAAUGAUGUCAAGCCUG